RNAcentral lists this ribosomal RNA (202 nucleotides) under uncultured bacterium. RNAcentral describes it as "partial 16S ribosomal RNA". It matches the Rfam family "Bacterial small subunit ribosomal RNA", at positions 524 to 724 of the family's 1533-position model. The record is from RNAcentral.
UACGUAGGGUGCAAGCGUUGUCCGGAAUUAUUGGGCGUAAAGAGCUCGUAGGCGGUUUGUCGCGUCUGCUGUGAAAACCCGAGGCUCAACCUCGGGCCUGCAGUGGGUACGGGCAGACUAGAGUGGCGGUAGGGGAGAUUGGAAUUCCUGGUGUAGCGGUGGAAUGCGCAGAUAUCAGGAGGAACACCGAUGGCGAAGGCAG